This 72-nucleotide transfer RNA is filed under the name Loxodonta africana (African savanna elephant). It matches the Rfam family "tRNA". Rfam says of the family: Transfer RNA (tRNA) molecules are approximately 80 nucleotides in length. Their secondary structure includes four short double-helical elements and three loops (D, anti-codon, and T loops). Lineage: Eukaryota; Metazoa; Chordata; Mammalia; Proboscidea; Elephantidae. The record is from Rfam by way of RNAcentral.
GCCCCAGUGGCACAACGGUUAAGCAUUCAGCUGCUAACUGAAAUGUUGGUGGUUCGAACCCACCCAGUGACU